This is a non-coding RNA of Pantherophis guttatus, 736 nucleotides long. The record is from RefSeq and is a predicted model, not a curated record. Lineage: Eukaryota; Metazoa; Chordata; Lepidosauria; Squamata; Colubridae.
CCAGGCCCAGCUGGUAUCAAUAAAAGAGGCGGCAGCAAUAGAAGAAAAUGACGAAUAAGGCUCCACGGCAAAUUGAGAUGGAAUAAUGAAGUUAAAGGAAGAUCCCAAAACAUCAAGAACAUUUCAAUCUUUGGAAGCCACAAGCUCACAAAGACGGCAGGUUCUCCUUCUUUGGGUGCCUUCACACAACCAUUUGUCAGCAAUGCUUUAAUAUGGAUCCCUGAACUGAGUGACCUCGUGGUCCUCACCUCUAGCAUCUUAUUUGUGUGGAAAGGGCUCAACAAGUUGGAGAAUCCUAGACUGUUCAUAAAAACCUUGCUUGAAGGAAACUGUGGUUUGUGUGAACUCAGUCAAAUACUGGAACGGGAAGAAUGCAGAACCCAGGAAUUCCUUCUGAACAGCUGACUUGAACUGACAUCCAUCUAUGGAAAAAGCCAUUUCUGUUUACUUCAACAUUACACAGCAGUAUAAUUUUGGGCAGCGAUCAGAGUUAAGUUGCUGGCUCUUUUCCCACGGAUGUUAAACAAUCAAGAGUCAUCAUACUUUGCAGAACUAUAAAUCCAUGAAAUAUCUAAAGUUACCUAUCCUCCGUUUUUGAAAUAAAAGAACAUCAUUUCCUCUCCCACUCUUGAUAUUGUACUGGCUGGGUAGCAAUUUCACUAAUAUUUACCUCAGCAGUGCUUUUAUUAUUAUUGUUGUUGUAGUUUCUACAAAUUAAACUUUGCUACUCAACGUU